UCAAGGAUGAGUUUGAAAAGAGAUGUGAUGCUGUCAAAGGCGCCUUAAUGUGUCUCGAGAAAAAGAUUGAACAGAUGGUCCAAUCACACAAUGCAAUGCUAAAGAGGAAAGCACUUGGCCAGCCUACCCUUGAUCCAAAAAUUAUUGAACACUCCAAGAAAGCUUCAAAGUCUUUGGAUCAACAAAUUUCUCCUCAACCUGCAUCAAGAGGCAUUUAGUUUCCCACUGGUUUCUCAGGCCCUCGGAACCCACAACCUUCAACUGCUACAUCAAGCAAGAUAACCAAGCAAGAUGAAGUCGAAGCCAAGAAACAAAAGAGGUCUCAUCCCACUGAAGCCCAACCCUCUCCACCUGUGACACCCUUGAUUUGAUCGUACGCUAAUCAUACACGCAAAUGCGUAUGACCAAGCUCAAGGACUCACGGGAAGAUAUCACAACACAACUCUAGACACAAAUAAAACAUACAAGCUUCAUAUUACAAGCCAGGGGCCUCGAGGGCUAGAAUACAGAAGCUCGAUAAACACACGAGUUAGCGUAAGCAACAAAUAUCUGAGUCCACACAUGAAAUAUGACGAUGCCUUAGAGAAGGCUAGCACAAAAGAGAUAACGAUCGAACGAGGCGUGGCCUCCUGCCUGGGAACCUCCUAAGCUACUCCUGGUCAUCAGCGGCCUCCCCGUAGUAGCAGACACCGUCGGGGGAGCAGUCGUUGUCGGCGGGAUAUGCCAUCUCCUGGGCUCCAUCAUCUGGUCGGAGUAACGUACCAAGGGGAAAAGGGGAGCAAAGAAACGGUGAGUACUCAUUCAAAGUACUCGCAAGACUGACAUUAGAACUAUGCUAAGUUAUGCAUCGGUAUCAAAGGAAGGGGUCAUAUGUGGACUCACUGCAGCAAUACGAGAAUAGAGAGAGAGGGACUAGUCCUAUCAAAGACUAGCAUCUUCAGGGGUCUUGCAGCAAUAGACGAGAGUAGAGCAAGUAACACAGAUAUAUAGUCAUACUGUUGCAGUAAUAUUAAUUAUAGUCACGCCCGGAGAUCCUCCCUCGACUCCCUGUGAGGAAGCAAUCCUUUAGCAAACAUUCCAGUUAAGUAACAGUUGUAGUUGUAUAAGAUCAGGGUGCAACUCCAAAUCGUCCUGUAACUAUGGACACGGCUAUUCGAAUAGUUAAUUUUCUUCCCUGCAGGGGUGCACCAAGUUUCCCGCCACAAUUGAUAAACUCUGGUCGGACACACUUUCCUGGGUCAUGCCUGGCCUCGGCACAUCAACACGUCGCAACCCCACCUAAGCUCAACAGAGAGGCCAGCCUGCUGGUCUAAAUCCUAAGCGCGCAGGGGUCAUGGGCCCAUCACCCUUUGCGCUCCUGCACAAUGCAAGGGCGGGCGAUGUCAAUCUUGUCACUUCUUAUACACGAACGAUGAUUAUCCAUGCCACUCGGGCGCGCGCCGCUCCAUUGCUGAGGUCUGAAGAGCUUCGGCUGAUACCACGAUGUCGAGAACCCAUAACUCCUCACAUGUAGACGGUUAGUGCACAAAAGGUCUCCAACCAACCCAGAUCAAAUACCCAAAUCCUUAGCAUUUUAAUUAUUCAUCGACACAUCCACGCGGGUAUCCACCCGCCAAACAUCAUUCAUCAAUGUUCCCAGUAGCACGGUCAAGUAACUGUGUGGUUGUAACAUUAGAGGGAUCGGAGGUAUCACCCUCUACGGAUUCCGAAUGAUGUAACUGUCAAGGUGGGCAGGAAGGAAUCACCCAGGCUGGGCCAGGUUGAUGGGUUGUACGACAGAGUCGUUAUCAGAGGUGGUGAACGAGGAAUCACCCUCUCAGAACCACCGCCGGUUAAUUACACUACAGAGCUAACAUCAGGAGUACGUAUCGAGGUGUCAUCCUCGGUACUCGAUAGUAGCCUUACAGCGUCGUACAACUAAGGGAGGGUGUAAGUGUUGUGUCGGGUCUUGGCUCGUCGAUUAGUUGAUCGAGACUUGACGAUAAAGCGAGGGCAACUGGUCUAAGGGGUCAAAGGGGAUGAUUGUGCCACCUAUACUAAGCAGUUUAAAGUGCGGUAUUGGAAAGUAGCACUUCAUAAAAAACAGGCUAUGCAUCAGCUAUAGGAGCUAACUACAACAGUAGCAAAAUUCUAAUGCAAGCACGAGGGAGAAAGAAAUAUGCGAUAUAGGAAUGAUCAAGAGGGUUUGCUUGCCUGGGUACUCUGCAGACAAAACGGAUCCUCGACCGGGAAGUAGUCAAUCACCGGAUCAUCAUCGGUCUCGGGGUCUACCAGAAAGGAAGUAACGUAGGGGAAACACGAUAAAUAACAGAGCAAUCAAAUGCAUCACAAAGAAUGGCAUGGCUAAAGGCAGAGCUAGGCAUGAGCUAACGUGGUACUAUACGUCAUCGACGGAUCGGAAUAAUAUCCGACGAUAUUUUCCGGGUCUCUGUCUAUUACUUAUCAGGCGAAAUGGAUGGAAAAGUUCCAUGUUCGCUAUGCUAGGUACACGUGAUAGACGAACGGAUAGCGUAUCCGGGUUCGUCUCGUUUUUGUGAUCAACUUUCAUGUAUAAAUUAUUUUCAUCCGAAUUAUUAUAUUAAUUUUUAAUGUUUUAAUAAUUAUUUUAUAAAUAAACAGAUUUAACUUUGUUUUAAUAUUUUAAAUGUGACAACAGCAUGAUGGCAUGCUGUCAUCAGUAAUCAAUAGUGGGGUUGAGUGGUCAAUUUGACCAAUGGGCUCCACCUGUCAUAGUCACACUUCAAAUCUAGGCUUAACUAAUUAAUAAACAGGUUUGAUUAGGUGUAUGGGAUCCACAUGUCCUACCCUCUAUUAAAUUAACAGAAUUAAUUAAUUAGAUUAGGUUUAAUUAAUCCAAUUAAUUGCUCUAAUUAAUUUGAUAGGUUAAUUAGAGGUUAAUUAGGCUACUUAAUUAGCUUAUUAAUUAAUUACCUAAUUAAUUAACUUGGUUAAAUAAAUUUAUUAAUUUGUUAUAUUUUUAUUUACACAUUUAAUUUAUUUAUUUUCCUUUUUUAGUACACGUUUUAGGGGGAGGCCCCACAUGUCAUCUAGUGGGAAAUUGCUAACAAAGGGGGGGUUAAUUCGCCUGACCAAAUUGGGGUUGGGGGCGACGCGGUUGUGACCAAUGGGGAGAGGCCGAGCGGGGUUGGCGCCGGCGACAUGUGAGGCGCAGGAGCAUGCAGCGAGGUUGGCCGUGGAGUAGCAUCAGCAGGCGCGCGGCCAAGGCGUGGCUCACGCAGGCACGCGCGCGCGUGGCGCGUGGCAGAGGUGGGGGGCGCGACGGCAUGCGGGCGUAGGACGUGCAAUAGCUGCAGAGUAGUGAAGGUAACAUUGGACUGGCGAUGCGGCUAGUGGCAGCAGGCGGCUCGGCGUCGCGGUGGGCGGAGCUCCACGGCGAGAGCUCGCCAAAUCGGGAGGGGACACCGAAGCGACGCGGCGCCGAGUGAGGGCCGGUGCGGCCGGGCUGGUAAGGGUGCGCACGGGAGGGGAAAGGGGAAGCGGGGUGGCGCUCACAGGGGGGCGGCGAGGUAGCACCGGUGUGGUAGGGCGUCGGGGACGGCGAGCGGUGGGGCAGGGUCAGGACGGCGAGGGAGCAACGCCGGAGCAGCGUGGGGCUUGGGUUGAAGGAGGGGAGGGUGCAGGAGAGAGCGCCGGUSGCGGGGGUGGGGGCUGGGGGASGACCGGUGAGGGAGCG
RNAcentral lists this long non-coding RNA (3694 nucleotides) under Hordeum vulgare. RNAcentral describes it as "long non-coding RNA (HVUL_LNC003485)". Lineage: Eukaryota; Viridiplantae; Streptophyta; Magnoliopsida; Poales; Poaceae. The record is from RNAcentral.